This 253-nucleotide ribosomal RNA is filed under the name Sedimentisphaerales bacterium. RNAcentral's name for it is "partial 16S ribosomal RNA". It matches the Rfam family "Bacterial small subunit ribosomal RNA", at positions 524 to 776 of the family's 1533-position model. Lineage: Bacteria; Pseudomonadati; Planctomycetota; Phycisphaerae; Sedimentisphaerales. RNAcentral also lists the same sequence under 1 other name. The record is from RNAcentral.
GACAGAGGAGGCAAGCGUUGUUCGGAAUCAUUGGGCUUAAAGCGCGUGUAGGCGGCUUCGUAAGUGUCUUGUGAAAUCCCGUGGCUCAACCACGGAACUGCUGGGCAUACUGCGAGGCUUGAGGUUGGUAGAGGUGCCUGGAACUCUUGGUGGAGCGGUGAAAUGUGUAGAUAUCAAGAGGAACGCCGGAGGCGAAAGCGGGGCACUGGGCCAAAUCUGACGCUGAGACGCGAAAGCGUGGGGAUCAAACAGG